Long non-coding RNA from Solanum dulcamara, 3051 nucleotides. RefSeq lists it as uncharacterized. The record is from RefSeq and is a predicted model, not a curated record. The transcript is spliced from 2 exons. Lineage: Eukaryota; Viridiplantae; Streptophyta; Magnoliopsida; Solanales; Solanaceae.
UCCAAUGUAUAAUUAAAGAAGAGGAUUUACUGUGUGAACCAAAAAAACAUUAAAACUCCUUUUCCACUUAUGAUAGAACUACACAAUUCCUUUUCAUUCUCCAUUAAUACUAGGCAAAAAAAUCACACAAAUCUGAUGCCUUGAAGAAAAAUGAAAGAUCGAACAAAAUUAAAUGCACAGAGCUACGCACCCACAAAUUUGAUGCCUUAAAGAAAAAGAAAGAUUGGAAAAAUUAAGUGCACAGAUCUACACACCAUCACAAGAAAUAUGAAGGAAAUUUUUCAGAUCUAUAACCGAAUGAGUGGCACAAAGACAGCGCGUCUGAUUUUAUAUCAGAAAAUUGUGUGUUCAAUUCACGUCGGUUCUUUUCCGAUAUGUUCCCGACCUUAUAUGAUUUCUUAAAGGGUACUAUUUCAACAAAUAGCUUUUCAGGUAUGGAGCAAUCAACCACAGCUCUAAUACCAUUGUAAUUAAAUCGAAGCAAAAUCAACGAAUUGUGUACCUUUUAUUUACAGCAGAAGUGUUGAAUUUGCUACGACUAUGAAUUGCCCCAAGUCCACUUCAUCUCUCUUGGAAACAAGAGUAUUGUGUUCACAAAACUAAAUGUCUGUUUUGGAUGUGAAUAAGAAAAAUGAUUUUUCUUUUUGUUGUUUUCUUGCUGUUUUUAAAAGAAAAAUCAGUUCCAAAAUUAAUAAUCAGUUACAUUUGUAGUUAUUCCCCUUAAUUUAAAUCAAUGUAACUCUACCUUGUCUUCUUAUUUGAAAAAUGAAAUGAGUCGGAUUUGAUCAGAUCUGAGUCGGGUCAGGUCACACAUGAGCGAUUCCUGACUCAAAAUUCUUACACUAAUGAUUAUUAAAUGAUUGAAGGUUUAAGUGGGUAAUGAUGUGCUAGUGUUGCAUACUGUUAACUCGUAAAUGGACACCAUUGGUUUCUGAUUGUGGCUCCGAUGUUUGAAAUUUAUCUUAGGUUAUUACUUUAUAAUUCAAGUUUUAUUAUAUUGAGAUAUAUAAUUAAAUAUUAGGUGUAUUAUAUUAUAUGAAAAUUAUUGAAAUUAAGUUAUUUGUAGAAAUUAAAACUUAACCUUAGAUAUUUAGGAAAUUAAUUAUAGUAAUAUGGGUGUCUAUGGAUUCGCUUGCUUACGAAUAUUGUAUACCUAUUAGAUUGGAAACGUUCUGAGACAUUGAAGAAAGGAAAAACACUAGUAAAUUAGUUUGCUAGACUUUGAUUCUUCGACUGAGAUAUGUUAUGAUUUAUUCUAUAUCAUAGAUAUAUUCUUAAUAACAACGAUUGAUAGUCAUUGAGUAAUGUAUGAAGUUUAUUAUGCAUUUAAUUGUUAUGGUUUGGAUGGUUGAUAUGUUUUUGUGAUGCAAUCUCAAAAUCAUGAAAUUCAUAAUCUUGAACUUGCCUUAUCAAAAGUGAUGUCUUGAAUAAAGAAAAUUUGAUAAAAUAUUGUUACUGAAGUGGAAUGUGAUAAUAAAGAAUGAGAAAUUAAAUAUAUAUUUGGAUCGGGUGUCAUUAGCCGACACAAUAUGUUUGGAUCGGAUGUCAUGAGUCGACACAUCAUUAUUUGAAUCAGGUGUCAUGAGCCGACACGAUAUAUUUGAAUCGGGUGUCACAAAACGACACGAUAUUAUUGAAACGAGUGUCAUAUUUCGACACGGUAAUAUUAAAAAUAAAUAAAUAAAAUGACUUAAUAUUACUCAAUCUCAAAUAACUUAUUUCCCAAAAGUGCUUGGUUUGUAGGCCUGAGUCCUCAUGAAUUCUCUUAAUAUUGUUGACUGACUACGUAAUUGUUUCAUUGUGUUGUUAUUGACCUUGUUGUUGCCACCUGUUAAGUGUUAUGGUUGAUUUUCUGUUAUUACUUUAUGCAAUUUGAUUUCUAUUUUGAGUCGGCUGAUGAUAUCUACUCAGUACAUGUUGUCCUGUAUUGACUUCUACUUGUAUUUUUUUCUUUGUUUGAUUUUGUGGAGUGCAAUGAGUGUUUUAUUGACUUCGACUCGCCCUCAGUCUAGUUAGUGUCCAACACAUCAGGUUCCAGGGUGAGCUAUUCCUUAAAGCUCGUGUUGAAUUCUCUCGAUCAUGGCAUAAUGUCCUUUAUUUUAGGACACAAACUAUGUUAUUUGUUAAUUCUGGUGUUUGAUAUUUUUAGACUUUGUAUUUAGAAUUAGAUGUCUUUGAUGUGAUGACUUUCAGGUUUUUAGAAGGAUACUUUCAGGUUUUUAGAAGGAUAUGUAAAUUCUAGUGAAUUGUUGUUUCUUAUUUUCGUAAGUUGGGCUUCUGCAUUAUUGUCGUAUUUUAUAAGUUGAGUCACUAAUAUAAGUUGGAGUUUGUAUUGUUGGUUCUCCCACCUAAGAUGUUAAGUGUAGAUGCCACUCAUAUCUCAUUUUGAAUCGUGACAUAGAUAGAUAGAUGGAGAUAGAUAUGAAUUAUUACUCCCUGUUUUUUUUAACAUACCCUUGUUAAUUGACUUGACACUUAAUUUAAGUAACUAUUUAUUAGGAUGGUACAUUAAGAGCCUGUUUGGAUGAACUUAUUUUUAAGUAAUUUAUAAGUUGUAAACUGUUUAUAAGUUAAAAAAAAAUAAGUAGGUGUAGCCCAACUUAUUUUUUUUGACUCAUAAGUUGUUUUCAACUUAUAAGUUGCUUAAAAUAAGUUCAUUCAAACAAAUUCAAUUAUUUAUUGAGGCUUAUUUUAAGCACAAAAUAAUUAAGUUGGCAAGCCAAACACUUUAAAAAGCUGAAAACAACUUAGAAGGAACUUAUAAGUCAAUUUAAACGGACUCUAAGUCAAUGUUCAAAGGAAUUUCGAGCUGAAAAUUUUUGUUCGUAGUGUGGAGUUUAAAUUCAUUAUUCGUGACAGACAUCCAAGUGUUUUCAGUGAAUAAGUCAAAUCAAAUUCAAGAUAAAAGAUUCAACCCCAAGUUAUUCAAGACCUUUGAUCAAAUCAAAUUCAAAUUUAACAUAGUUUACAUUAUUGUUGAUAGAAUCGAAGGAGUAUAUAACGAUUGUAACACUCAUUAAAUUUGAAAUUAAAUAUUAUAAUUAUUGUGAU